UUAUAAGAGACAGCAGCAGCCGCGGGAAUACGGAGGGUGCAAGCGUUAAUCGGAAUUACUGGGCGUAAAGCGCACGCAGGCGGUCUGACAAGUCAGAUGUGAAAUCCCCGGGCUUAACCUGGGAACUGCAUUUGAAACUGUCAGGCUGGAGUCUUGUAGAGGGGGGUGGAAUUCCAGGUGUAGCGGUGAAAUGCGUAGAGAUCUGGAGGAAUACCGGUGGCGAAGGCGGCCCCCUGGACAAAGACUGACGCUCAGGUGCGAAAGCGUGGGGAGCAAACAGGAUUAGAUACCCCAGUAGUCCCUGUCUCUUAUAC
RNAcentral lists this ribosomal RNA (314 nucleotides) under uncultured bacterium. Its description in RNAcentral is "partial 16S ribosomal RNA". It matches the Rfam family "Bacterial small subunit ribosomal RNA", at positions 499 to 807 of the family's 1533-position model. The record is from RNAcentral.